This 238-nucleotide ribosomal RNA is filed under the name uncultured bacterium. Its description in RNAcentral is "partial 16S ribosomal RNA". It matches the Rfam family "Bacterial small subunit ribosomal RNA", at positions 15 to 240 of the family's 1533-position model. The record is from RNAcentral.
GAUCCUGGCUCAGGAUGAACGCUAGCUACAGGCUUAACACAUGCAAGUCGAGGGGCAGCAUGGUCUUUAGCUUUGCUAAGGCCGAUGGCGACCGGCGGCACGGGUGAGUAACGCGUAUCCAACCUGCCUUACACUCUUGGACAGCCUUCUGAAAGGGAGAUUAAUACAAGAUGUUAUCAUGAGUAAAGCAUUUUCGCAUGAUUAAAGGUUUACCGGUGUAAGAUGGGGAUGCGUUCCA